UCUAAGUUUGAUGGCGACCGGCGCACGGGUGAGUAACACGUAUCCAACCUGCCGAUGACUCGGGGAUAGCCUUUCGAAAGAAAGAUUAAUACCCGAUGGCAUAGUUCUUCCGCAUGGUAGAACUAUUAAAGAAUUUCGGUCAUCGAUGGGGAUGCGUUCCAUUAGGUUGUUGGCGGGGUAACGGCCCACCAAGCCUUCGAUGGAUAGGGGUUCUGAGAGGAAGGUCCCCCACAUUGGGACUGAGACACGGUCCAAACUCCUACGGGAGGCAGCAUG
Molecule: ribosomal RNA, 276 nt
Filed under: uncultured bacterium
Lineage: Bacteria
Description: partial 16S ribosomal RNA
Rfam family: Bacterial small subunit ribosomal RNA
Source: RNAcentral